UGGGGAAUUUUGGACAAUGGGCGCAAGCCUGAUCCAGCAAUGCCGCGUGCAGGAUGAAGGCCUUCGGGUUGUAAACUGCUUUUGUACGGAGCGAAAAGGUCUGCCCUAAUACGGUGGGCUCAUGACGGUACCGUAAGAAUAAGCACCGGCUAACUACGUGCCAGCAGCCGCGGUAAUACGUAGGGUGCGAGCGUUAAUCGGAAUUACUGGGCGUAAAGCGUGCGCAGGCGGUUAUGCAAGACAGAGGUGAAAUCCCCGGGCUCAACCUGGGAACUGCCUUUGUGACUGCAUAGCUAGAGUACGGUAGAGGGGGAUGGAAUUCCGCGUGUAGCAGUGAAAUGCGUAGAUAUGCGGAGGAACAUCCGUGGCGAAGGCAACUGUCUGGGCCAACACUGACACUGAGGCACGAAAGCGUGGGGAGCAAACA
RNAcentral lists this ribosomal RNA (427 nucleotides) under uncultured bacterium. Its description in RNAcentral is "bacterial SSU rRNA". It matches the Rfam family "Bacterial small subunit ribosomal RNA", at positions 355 to 774 of the family's 1533-position model. The record is from RNAcentral.